Molecule: long non-coding RNA, 3052 nt
Organism: Centropristis striata (black sea bass)
Lineage: Eukaryota; Metazoa; Chordata; Actinopteri; Perciformes; Serranidae
Exons: 3
Source: RefSeq, a predicted model, not a curated record
AGAGAAAAGGGAGAAAUUAAAAGAGAAUUAAACACAUCCUUUGUUUCUGAUUCAAUGAAAAUAUAUAUAUAAGUGAUGACACAUGCCGAUAGUUCAAGCAGGGUAACGGUUAGUCCUUAGUUAUCUCAUAUGACCAUAUUUAGUGUACUAGGGUCGUGUCAUUUCAUUAAUGGCUGAAUUUUAAGAAGGAGGAGCGUAUAAAAAUAGGGGAAAGGUUUUCUGGGAGUGGAUUUUCUUACAGAUUUCACAACAACUGAAACCACUUUACACAGCAACAUCACAGAAGCGGCCCGAUCCUCCACAGAUUCAGAAGCAGCUGUAAAAUCGGAGAAUCAUCUAACCCGCAUAGAAAUCCAGAGCAUCACAACGCCAAGAGAAGAACAAGAUGGCAGCUGGUGGCAUUGCUCGUCCUUUUGUAUACCCUGCAAGAGCAACCCGUCCCCGAAGGGAGGAGAUCAGAGAGCACACACUGCGUGUCAAUAAAGACACUCUGUUCUGUGAAAGAAAUAAUGACGGUGAAAGAAGCAGCCUCAUGUUGUUCAGCACACAUUUAAGUUUAGGAUGGCAGGGUGCAAUCAGACAACAAUAUCCUAAACUUAGAGAAGAACGACAGGGUGACAGAAUCAUCCUCACGUCCAGAGAAGGUACAGUAACGUUACAUCCUAGUGUAAAGAUUCUGGUAUAUGGCCAAGAGCUAAUGGAGAGGUUUGAGGGGGAUUUUCAACAAAUGAAACAAACGAUCCUGCCAGACUCAGAAAAUGGAGAAUUGAACACAAAUGCUCGUCAUUUUCAAUACCCCAGAGGACACAGUACGGGACGUCGAAGGAAAAGGCACAGAGAAAACACACUGCGUGAGAAUAAAGACAUUCUCUACUGUGAUGAAAAGGGUCGUGAUCAACAGUGUAACUUCAUUUUCAUGAGCACAUUUGUAAGAGAAUGGCAGGAUGCAAUGAUUGCCGAGUAUGAUGAACUUACACAAACUCAACAGGACGAUCUAAUCAAACUCCAGGCCGCGCCCGGGGAAGGUACCAUAUCUUUAUAUCCGAACUUAAAGGUUACUGUAGAAGGCACGCGACUAAUAGAGAGGUUUGAGCAUAAUUUCCUACAAAUGAGACAAAAAGUCCAUUUCCCACAAUUGUUGGACAUUGAGGAAUAACAUCCUGAUGAACCCGAGCCCUCUACUACGAAGCUAGAUGUGAGGUUAGCGACGUGCAACUCUCUGUAAAAUAACACAUUAAUACUAUAUUAUUAAUCAGUGUGCUUCCAUUAAUACUUCACUAUAUUAUUAAUCAGUGUGUUAACAUUAAUUCUUCACUAUAUCAUUAAUCAGUGUGUUUACAUUAAUAGUUCACUAUAUCAUUAAUCAGUGUGUUUACAUUAACACUUCAUUAUAUCAUUAAUCAGUGUGUUUACAUUAAUAGUUCACUAUAUUAUUAAUCAGUGUGUUUACAUUAACACUUCAUUAUAUCAUUAAUCAGUGUGUUUACAUUAAUAGUUCACUAUAUUAUUAAUCAGUAUGACAUUUACUUGCAUAGGAAAUGCUGUACAGUUUUCCUUCAAACCACAUUAUGUUUUAUGCUUUAUAAUGAUUUGCUGGUGUCCGUUAUAAACUGCAGGUAUUACAGCUAAUACUAAUACUGAAUGGAAAAUGUCUAUUUUUAGCCUAUUUAUCCAAGAUAAUAGGCCUUAAAAUACUUUUUUUUUUAAGUGGGCAAAACAAAAUAUAUAUUGGAUGUAUUCUUCACUAUGGGAAAGUUUCGGAUCUAAACCCAGUUCAUGAGUAUGUUAAAAUGUCAGUUUACAGUGUGACUGUAAGUGUGCUGUGUGUGCAGCUGUCAGCUUAGAAGUCAACAGUAUUCACAGAGAGCAUAGAGCGGUUAAAUAACUUGUGAAUUCACACUUGUUAUUUUCUGCCAGAAUUCAUCAUGUGCCUUAUUUAGAGCAACAGUAUUGCUUUUAGCCGUAUUAAUGAUUAAUAUUCUUCAUAGAAGUGGGUGGAACGUAAUUGGUUUUUUUUUCGGUAGUUGGGUCAAAUUAUGCUCCCAUCGCCCCCUUUUAUGUGAACUUGCACAGAGCCUGAAGAGGAAAGCCUGGGUUAACUAAGAAAGUUGAUAACCACAUUUGUGAUACCACUUAUCCCAGAUUGCAGUGGUUAGGCUUAGUGAACUUAGUGAAAAACUAUAUCUUGGGUAUGUUUAACAUGCUUCGUAGUACAGGGCUCAGAGGGGAAACACACUCUCCCUACCCAAACCAAAGAAAACUGAAACUGAUGAGAAAUAGAUUUUUCUGAUAAAUGAACAAGGGGAGAAAAAAACAAAUGUACAGUACCAUUAUAAAUAAGUAAUUUUUGAAGCUUUAUCCUACUUUUUUUUUUAUUUCAUAAAUGGGAAUGUAAAAUCAAUUCAAUAUUUUGUUCUGUUUUUAAACACGUUUGUAACGUAUUGUUUGUCUGUACAAUUUCUGGUUCUGGUUACUGCACAUUUGAAGAAAUAUCUAAAUAUCCAAUUGCAAUAUUAAUUCACUUAAGAUGGUACUUUGACACACAUUUUGUCUUACAUUGCACCUCCUGCGAUUUGACAAUUGCAGUGGGUAAUAAUGCCAUGUCAAUAAAAUGUCUCAAUCGUUCAUCUCUAAAUAGUAAUAGUAAAUGUACUAUCCAAAGUUUUUUUUUUUAAAAAGAACUCACUGAGCAGGUGGUAGUUUGAGUCUCUCUCAUAUUUGAAGGUCAGUCUUCCGUAGCUGACAUGGUUGAGAUUCUUCAGCCACUCAAAAUAGGACACAGUCACACCGCCGGCGUUCAGGUACAUGUCCUGUGGAUUGAAACAUCAAACUCAUCAGGCACCUGUCUGUUAGCUUUUUACUUUUCUGUGUGUGAAUUUUUUGGAUUACAUUUCCUUUGUGCUGUUUUUAAGUUUGGUUUUGGAAGAAAAUUAUUUCUCUGUAAAAUAAAAGCUACUGGAAGAAAAUGUUAAUGAAAUACUUUUGUGAGGAAACUUGUAAAUUCAAGCAAAAAUAUGUUGCUUACACAAUAAAUGGAUUAUAGUUAACAUGA